This 460-nucleotide ribosomal RNA is filed under the name uncultured bacterium. RNAcentral's name for it is "partial 16S ribosomal RNA". It matches the Rfam family "Bacterial small subunit ribosomal RNA", at positions 338 to 795 of the family's 1533-position model. The record is from RNAcentral.
CCUACGGGAGGCAGCAGUGAGGAAUAUUGGUCAAUGGACGAGAGUCUGAACCAGCCAAGUAGCGUGAAGGAUGACUGCCCUAUGGGUUGUAAACUUCUUUUAUAUGGGAAUAAAAUAGGGUACGUGUACCUUCUUGUAUGUACCAUAUGAAUAAGGCUCGGCUAACUCCGUGCCAGCAGCCGCGGUAAUACGGAGGAUCCGAGCGUUAUCCGGAUUUAUUGGGUUUAAAGGGAGCGUAGAUGGGUUGUUAAGUCAGUUGUGAAAGUUUGCGGAUCAACCGUAAAAUUGCAGUUGAAACUGGCAGUCUAGAGUACAGUAGAGGUAGGCGGAAUUCGUGGUGUAGCGGUGAAAUGCUUAGAUAUCACGAAGAACUCCGAUUGCGAAGGCAGCUUACUGGACUGCAACUGACACUGAUGCUCGAAAGUGUGGGUAUCAAACAGGAUUAGAUACCCUGGUAGUC